AAUCCAGAGAUGGAUUUGUGCCUUCGGGAACUGUGAGACAGGUGCUGCAUGGCUGUCGUCAGCUCGUGUUGUGAAAUGUUGGGUUAAGUCCCGCAACGAGCGCAACCCUUAUCCUUUGUUGCCAGCGGUUAGGCCGGGAACUCAAAGGAGACUGCCAGUGAUAAACUGGAGGAAGGUGGGGAUGACGUCAAGUCAUCAUGGCCCUUACGACCAGGGCUACACACGUGCUACAAUGGCGCAUACAAAGAGAAGCGACCUCGCGAGAGCAAGCGGACCUCAUAAAGUGCGUCGUAGUCCGGAUUGGAGUCUGCAACUCGACUCCAUGAAGUCGGAAUCGCUAGUAAUCGUGGAUCAGAAUGCCACGGUGAAUACGUUCCCGGGCCUUGUACACACCGCCCGUCACACCAUGGGAGUGGGGUGCAAAAGAAGUAGGUAGCUUAACCUUCGGGAGGGCGCUUACCACUUUGUGAUUCAUGACUGGGGUGAAGUCGUAACAAGGUAACCGUAGGGGAACCUGCGGUUGGAUCACCUCCUUA
RNAcentral lists this ribosomal RNA (536 nucleotides) under Salmonella enterica subsp. enterica serovar Muenchen. RNAcentral's name for it is "bacterial SSU rRNA". It matches the Rfam family "Bacterial small subunit ribosomal RNA", at positions 997 to 1533 of the family's 1533-position model. Lineage: Bacteria; Pseudomonadati; Pseudomonadota; Gammaproteobacteria; Enterobacterales; Enterobacteriaceae. RNAcentral also lists the same sequence under 1 other name. The record is from RNAcentral.